Molecule: ribosomal RNA, 443 nt
Filed under: uncultured bacterium
Lineage: Bacteria
Description: partial 16S ribosomal RNA
Rfam family: Bacterial small subunit ribosomal RNA
Source: RNAcentral
CCUACGGGAGGCAGCAGUGGGGAAUAUUGGUCAAUGGGCGCAAGUCUGACCCAGCAACGCCGCGUGAAGGAUGAAGGCUUUCUGGUUUUAAACUUCUUUUUUUAGGGACGUAGCACGUGACGUUACUUGACGAAUAUGCCUCCGCUAACUACGUGCCAGCAGUCCCGGUAAUACGUAGGUGGCAAGCGUUAUCCGGAUUUAUUGGGUGUAAAGGGCGUGUAGGUGGGAAUGCAAGUCAGAUGUGAAAACUAUGGGCUCAACCCAUAGACUGCAUUUGAAACUGUAUUUCUUGAGUGCAGGAGAGGCAAUCGGAAUUCGGGGUGUAGCGGUGAAAUGCGUAGAUAUACGGAGGAACACCAGUGGCGAAGGCAGAUUGCUGGACAGUAACUGACGCUGAGGCGCGAAAGCGUGGGGAGCAAACAGGAUUAGAUACCCUUGUAGUC